AUUCCGGUUGAUCCUGCCGGAGGCCAUUGCUAUCGGAGUCCGAUUUAGCCACGCUAGUCGUGCGAGUUCAGACUCGCGGCACCGAGCUCAGUAACACGUGGCCAAACUACCCUACAGAGACGGAUACCCUCGGGAAACUGAGGUUAACCCGUCAUACCGAUCUCAGGCUUGAAUCGCAGAGAUCACAAAAUGCCCCGGCGCUGUAGGAUGUGGCUGCGGUUGAUUAGGUAGACGGUGGGGUAACGGCCCACCGUGCCCAUAAUCAGUACAGGUUGUGAGAGCAAGAACCUGGAGACGGAAUCUGAGACAAGAUUCCGGGCCCUACGGGGCGCAGCAGGCGCGAAACCUUUACACUGCACGCACGUGCGAUAAGGGGACUCCGAGUGCGAGGGCAUAUCGUCCUCGCUUUCGUGUACCGUAGGGUGGUACACCAACAAGGGCUGGGCAAGACCGGUGCCAGCCGCCGCGGUAAUACCGGCAGCCCGAGUGAUGGCCGAUCUUAUUGGGCCUAAAGCG
This 516-nucleotide ribosomal RNA is filed under the name uncultured haloarchaeon. RNAcentral describes it as "bacterial SSU rRNA". It matches the Rfam family "Archaeal small subunit ribosomal RNA", at positions 1 to 517 of the family's 1478-position model. Lineage: Archaea; Methanobacteriati; Methanobacteriota; Halobacteria; Halobacteriales; Halobacteriaceae. The record is from RNAcentral.